This 326-nucleotide long non-coding RNA is filed under the name Capra hircus (goat). RNAcentral's name for it is "lncRNA (ENSCHIG00010023385.1)". Lineage: Eukaryota; Metazoa; Chordata; Mammalia; Artiodactyla; Bovidae. The record is from RNAcentral.
AGUUCUAGAUUUCUUUUGUUUUUCUACAGUCAUUACAUGAGACAGAUACUGGAAGCUCUACGCUAUUGUCACGAUAAUAACAUAAUUCACAGGGAUGUGAAGCAUCCGUAGGUACAGAGCUCUUCUUCUCUCAAGAAAUAACAUCAAAGGCCUGGCUUCUUCAGUGGACUUUAAUGGUUAAGACAAUUAAGUAGAAUUUAAUUAAAUUUUCUAUAACAUCUGAGAAAUUUUAACUGAAAUUCUGGUGGUUAAAAGCUGAGGGAAAGCAUGAGCAAUUCCAAACCCAUCUGGUGGAAUGUUAUAAUAGCAAUGAAAAAAUCAUUGGA